UUCUCACUUUUCUGUUGCCCGCACGCUUUGCUUCCUCCUGCUUCCGAGGGCGCACUCACUGCGUGAUCCCUCACAUGUCUUCUUCAACCGCCCCGGCCACUACCAGCGACUCCUCUGACCUCUUUGAAACACCCAUAUUAGACAGCGAGUUUUCCGCUCUCCUCCACGCCAUUUCCGAGCAUGGAGGCUAUGCUUUUGUCAGCAUGGCUACCCUCGCCACCCUCGGCGACUUUCGAGCCGCCGAGGCUGCCCGUGAGAUGGCCUGGGAGCAGCUACACUCAGGGCCUCGUCACUCUGUCCUCCCAGUUUGGCGCGACGCCUACUCUAUGGCUUGCCUUCACGUGGCCAAGCACCAUUACAGCAGCGGUGACUUCAAGGAGGCUCUUAGGGCUUUGGAUAUGGGACUGAUCAUGGGGGGAUCGCUUCUAAAGAAUGACCUGAGCUCUGCUGUUGGCAGAGUCUCGGAGAGGGUCAGGAACAUUAGGGCUUCCGGAGAAAGCCACGAAGGCUUCGGGAAGUCCGAGCAGCGACUUCUCGAUCACGAACUUAAUCAGGCCGAGGUGUACAAACUUCUACCCUUGAACUCCCUUUCUCAUAAAAUCGUGGAGAAGAGGUCUGCUCUGUCAUUGGAAAGGUUCCUGGAAGAUUAUUAUCGGUCUGGUUCCCCGGUUAUCAUCAGUGAUUGUAUGGCUCACUGGCCAGCCAAGACAAAAUGGAAUGACAUAGACUAUUUGAAAAGGAUUGCUGGUGAUCGCACAAUUCCAGUUGAGGUUGGAAAAAACCAUUUAUGUGCACAGUGGAAGAAAGAGUUAAUUACAUUUUCAGAGUUUCUUCAACGUAUUGAGUCCCAUGGCUGCUCUUCUGUGGGUCCUACAUAUCUUGCUCAGCAUCCGCUAUUUGAUCAGUUGCAGAUAAAUGAGCUUCGGAAAGAUAUUUGUAUUCCUGACUAUUGUUUUGCUGGCGAAGGGGAGCUAAGGUGUCUCAAUGCUUGGUUUGGUCCUGCUGGGAUAGUAACACCAUUACACCAUGAUCCACACCAUCAUAUACUAGCUCAGGUUGUGGGGAAGAAAUAUGUGAGGCUCUACUCUGCAUCUUUGUCUAAGGAACUUUACCCUUACAUCAAAACAACGCUCACGAAUUCCAGCCAGGUAUUUAUUUAUUUAUUUUUCAAUGUGAAUUAAUAACCUCCUGUGCAUGAUGCUUACGCAUUUGCACACCAUCAUUACCAUAUACCAUCAUUUUCUCUCUCAUUUUCCUGAUGUUUGCUGAAAGUGUUCCUAUCUCACUAUAUAUAUCUAGGAAUUGCAUGUUUCCACAACUUUUCUUUUUAUCCUUGCAGCCAAGUCGAUUCAUGCCUCACUCAGUACUUAUUAUUUACAAACAAGUAUUUCCCUUAUUAGGUGUUUUGUGAGAAUGAAUCGAUUAUUAAGAAAUGGGUUUUUUCCUGCUAAUCUAAAACUUAUUGUUGACUGCUAAAUAAGAUGAGAGUUCUUGAGAAUAGAGUUUGGGGUUUUGUUCUGUUAUAUGGGGUAUGCAAGAGAAAGUGAUCGAGCCUAGUGGCCUACCAAUGUGCGACAAACAUAUAUGAAGUUUUAGAUUCGGGAAGUUAAUAAAUUUUGUUGAAUCAGUCAGAGUGGUUGAAUGUGGUAUGGUUCCCUGGUUUCCUAUAACUGCAAGUUCUGUUUGACGAAUGCAUACCCUUGGCUCUCUAGAUAUUCAUAUGCUUGAGAUUGAUCCAGAUAGCAUAGAUGAAAAGAUGUUUCCUGGGGUGCAAGACUUGGAAUUCGUAGACUGUAUAUUAGAGGAGGGUGAAUUACUAUAUAUCCCGCAAAAAUGGUGGCACUAUGUCCGCUCUCUAACUACAA
RNA transcript from Prosopis cineraria, 1865 nucleotides. It is a transcript of the gene named lysine-specific demethylase JMJ30, with no coding region annotated. The transcript has 6 exons. Lineage: Eukaryota; Viridiplantae; Streptophyta; Magnoliopsida; Fabales; Fabaceae. The record is from RefSeq and is a predicted model, not a curated record.